GCAGCCAAGUCGUGAGGCGGAGCUAAUCCCUUAAAGCCAUUCUCAGUUCGGAUUGUAGGCUGAAACUCGCCUACAUGAAGCUGGAGUUACUAGUAAUCGCAGAUCAGAAUGCUGCGGUGAAUGCGUUCCCGGGUCUUGUACACACCGCCCGUCACACCACGGAAGUUGGGGGCGCCCGAAGCCACUUAGCUAACCCUUUGGGAAGCGAGUGUCGAAGGUGAAAUCAAUAACUGGGGUGAAGUCGUAACAAGGUAGC
Molecule: ribosomal RNA, 256 nt
Filed under: uncultured bacterium
Lineage: Bacteria
Description: partial 16S ribosomal RNA
Rfam family: Bacterial small subunit ribosomal RNA
Source: RNAcentral